This 497-nucleotide ribosomal RNA is filed under the name uncultured bacterium. RNAcentral's name for it is "partial 16S ribosomal RNA". It matches the Rfam family "Bacterial small subunit ribosomal RNA", at positions 28 to 507 of the family's 1533-position model. The record is from RNAcentral.
GACGAACGCUGGCGGCGUGCCUAAUACAUGCAAGUUGAGCGCUGAAGGAUGGUACUUGUGCCCACUGGAUGAGCAGCGAACGGGUGAGUAACGCGUGGGUAAUCUGCCUUUUAUCGGGGGACAACAUCUGGAAACGAAUGCUAAUACCGCAUAAAAACUUUAAACACAAGUUUUAAGUUUGAAAGAUGCAAUUGCAUCACUCAAAGACGAUCCCGCGUUGUAUUAGCUAGUUGGUGAGGUAAAGGCUCACCAAGGCGAUGAUACAUAGCCGACCUGAGAGGGUGAGCGGCCACAUUGGGACUGAGACACGGCCCAAACUCCUACGGGAGGCAGCAGUAGGGAAACUUCGGACAUGGACGAAAGGCUGACCGAGGAACGCCGCGUGAGUGAAGAAGGUUUUCGGAUCGUAAAACUCUGUUGGUAGAGAAGAACGUUGGUGAGAGUGGAAAGCUCAUCAAGUGACGGUAACUAACCAGAAAGGGACGGCUAACUACGUG